AGCAGCCGCGGUAAUUCCAGCUCCAAUAGCGUAUAUUAAAGUUGUUGCAGUUAAAAAGCUCGUAGUUGAAUUUCGGGAUCAAUAUGCCGGUCAUGCCUUGGUAUGUACUGGUAUCUUUGAUUUCUCCCUUCUGACGAACUUUGAUGUCAUUAAUUUGGUGUCAUAGGGAAUCAGGACUGUUACUUUGAAAAAUUGAGUGUUUAAAGCAGGCUCACGCUUGAAUACAUUAGCAUGGAAUAAUGAGAUAGGACGUUUGAUUCUAUUUUGUUGGUUUCUAGGAUCGACGUAAUGAUUAAUAGGGAUAGUUGGGGGCAUUAGUAUUCAAUUGUCAGAGGUGAAAUU
Molecule: ribosomal RNA, 342 nt
Filed under: uncultured Glomus
Lineage: Eukaryota; Fungi; Glomeromycota; Glomeromycetes; Glomerales; Glomeraceae
Description: SSU rRNA
Rfam family: Eukaryotic small subunit ribosomal RNA
Source: RNAcentral